UGAGUUAUUGCCUUCUCUGGAGGA
Molecule: non-coding RNA, 24 nt
Filed under: Mus musculus (house mouse)
Lineage: Eukaryota; Metazoa; Chordata; Mammalia; Rodentia; Muridae
Source: RNAcentral